This is a non-coding RNA of Nasonia vitripennis (jewel wasp), 73 nucleotides long. The record is from Rfam. NCBI's taxonomy places the organism in Eukaryota, Metazoa, Arthropoda, Insecta, Hymenoptera, Pteromalidae.
UUUUUAAUGUGGCCUUGUACCUACAAGAUAGGUAUCAAGACGGUCUCAAGCCCGUGUAAACACAGAGAGAAAA